UGCGGAGCGGAGAUCUACGUGUCGUCCUUGACUGCGGAAAUUAAAGAAUCCAUCCGCCCCGCCUGGUUUGCCUCCCCUCGCAGUCGUCGCCCCUCACGCUCGCCUUCUGCGUCACCGUCAGCGAGUCCUCGAGCCGACGCUGCCGCCAAGCCUCAUGGCCGUCCUCCUUCGCCAUGUAGUGAACGAGACCACGCCGAGCAGCCCGAGCUCCUGGUGCGUCCUUCAAGCCCAUCUGGCCAUCCCGCUUCAUCUUCUUCCAGCACCUGACGUGACAGGAAGGGGCCUCACGAUGCGAGCUCCGCUGCAGCACCGCCGUCUCCGGUUAUCACACGUUAUGUUCCGGCCGACGUUCACUGCCUUCUUGGUCUCUCGGCUCGGAGAGCUCCGCCUACAGUUCCACAAGCACCAGCUCCAAAUCCGGCUGCCCCCAUCAUUUCUGUUGCUUUGGUUAUUCCGUGACUGGUGGCUGCCUGCGUCAACCAUGGAGAGCCCUGCUCGUGGUUGUAUUUGCCAUCAUCAUCACAGACGGUGUCAGCUCGCUUUCUCCUUUUGCAGAUCUGCUCAGCUUUCGGUCUCCACGGCUUUUGCAUUCUGCUAGCAAAGGUAGGAGAGGUAAGGACUGCCCUUGAUUCAUUUCUUUCUUUCUUUUGUUUAUGUUUAUUUUCUCAUCAUGGAAUGCUACCAAAGUAAAUUGGUAAAGAUUGCUGCACACCAGAAUUGUCACGUAUGUUGAGUUUUUUUCUCAUCCCAUACCAUCUCCUUAACAACUACCUUUACUUUAUCUUAUUAUGAUAUAAUAUAAUGUGAUACAUGAUUAAGCCAUUCACAAUAUAGUUUCACUUUUAAAGAUUGUCUUCUCAAGUGUCCUGUUAUACAUUGUCUUAUAAAAAUAAAGUACUUUCUGAUUAUAAUUAUCAUUUGGCCUACACCAGAUUUUGUUGUAGAGAGGUUAGUGGCAUAGUGGGCUCAUGAACUUUUUCCUUUUAUCCUCGGGUAUCCAAGAAGAGGCGGAGUAGUGUGUUUUGACUUUUGAGCCUGGAUGUUAAUAAGGUUCAGCGCUGGAUAAUGGACAAAUAUUUGGUGCACAAUCCAUCCAUACGAUUCAGAAGGUGCAAACAUUUUAUUUGUUUAGACCAAAUCACUCAUGACGUUUCCAUGCUGAUAUUUGGUACCUGCGUAUUAUGGCUGUUCCUAAGCCCUCAGCCACUGUAUAUAUAUUCAAAAUUAUAUAUGCACGCAUAAUAUGUACUUAAGCUACAUGCUUCUACAGGCUUAGGACACAUUAGCCUUUGACAAUAUGAAUAACUGACUAUUCACUCCGUUUUUAUUUAAAUGUCAUAUUAGGUUUGUCCUAAAUCAAACAUGGCAAACUUUGAUCAAACUUAGAGAGAAAAAAUAACAUUUUUAAUGUCAAAUUUGUUUCAUUGGAUCUAUCAUGAAGUAUAGUUGUUGUUGUUGUAUUUUUCUAUAGACCUGUGUCUCCUGCCUACCCGGUGUUUCUUCAUUUUUUUAAGCAAAGCCCGCUAUUGCUUCGUUGCUCCUGCUAUCAUGCUCAUUGCCGACCAGCGCAACAUUUUUGUGGUUCUCUUUAUCCCUUUUGGUCCUCUUCUCUUUUGUGGGCCGCUCGCUAGGUCGUCCGUGCCUAUUCAUUAUUUCAGCCCGUUUUUGUUGCAGCUGCUGGGACUGUAGAGGACCGAUGUGGCGUAGAAGGUACAUAGUCCCGAAUCAAGUGAAAUGCGGCCCUCUAGCUCGUUGCACUAUCGAUAAGUGCCGCACAAUGCAAGCUGCGAGUCCUCCGGGUUUGGCGACACUGUUGUAUGCAGGAUCACGCCUCCCGGCACGACACUGGACACCUGCUGCUGCAUGCAGAAUGCUGCUCGGAGACUAGCUUGACUUUCAGUAUCGAGGCCGGCCGGCUCUAGCUAGCUAGCUGGGUGUGAAAUAAUGAUAGAUCAAUGGAAAUGUUAAUUGUGGAUCACAACAAUUUGGAUCUUGUAAACUUUUUCAUUAUUACCAACUAUAUCCUCUGGCAUUGACUCA
This is a long non-coding RNA of Panicum virgatum (switchgrass), 2040 nucleotides long. RefSeq lists it as uncharacterized. The record is from RefSeq and is a predicted model, not a curated record. NCBI's taxonomy places the organism in Eukaryota, Viridiplantae, Streptophyta, Magnoliopsida, Poales, Poaceae. The transcript is spliced from 2 exons.